CGGAGACAAUGGACUCAGUCCCAGAUACAGUCACACGGGGCCGAGCGCAGCUACCGCUGCAGAAUCUAGUCACGGACACCCCCCCGCACACACACACACACACACUCAUGGAGUUGGUUGGAACUGGGCCGUGAGAAAGG
RNAcentral lists this long non-coding RNA (140 nucleotides) under Spermophilus dauricus (Daurian ground squirrel). RNAcentral describes it as "T-cell leukemia/lymphoma 6 conserved region 3 (ENSSDAG00000004329.1)". It matches the Rfam family "T-cell leukemia/lymphoma 6 conserved region 3". The record is from RNAcentral. Lineage: Eukaryota; Metazoa; Chordata; Mammalia; Rodentia; Sciuridae.